RNAcentral lists this ribosomal RNA (484 nucleotides) under uncultured bacterium. RNAcentral's name for it is "partial 16S ribosomal RNA". It matches the Rfam family "Bacterial small subunit ribosomal RNA", at positions 30 to 507 of the family's 1533-position model. The record is from RNAcentral.
AUUGAACGCUGGCGGCAGGCCUAACACAUGCAAGUCGAGCGGAUGAAGGGAGCUUGCUCCUGGAUUCAGCGGCGGACGGGUGAGUAAUGCCUAGGAAUCUGUCUGGUAGUGGGGGAUAACGUCCGGAAACGGGCGCUAAUACCGCAUACGUCCUGAGGGAGAAAGUGGGGGAUCUUCGGACCUCACGCUAUCAGAUGAGCCUAGGUCGGAUUAGCUAGUUGGUGGGGUAAAGGCCUACCAAGGCGACGAUCCGUAACUGGUCUGAGAGGAUGAUCAGUCACACUGGAACUGAGACACGGUCCAGACUCCUACGGGAGGCAGCAGUGGGGAAUAUUGGACAAUGGGCGAAAGCCUGAUCCAGCCGUGCCGCGUGUGUGAAGAAGGUCUUCGGAUUGUAAAGCACUUUAAGUUGGGAGGAAGGGCAGUAAGUUAAUACCUUGCUGCUUUGACGUUACCAACAGAAUAAGCACCGGCUAACUUCGUG